GCUUCAUGGUCAUCAGUGAUAUAUCCCUGUUUUCACUAAUUUUCUAUGUUUUAGGUAUAGGAUCUUGAGUCUUUAUGUUAUUUUUCGAGUCUUUUUAGUGUCUUUUCAGGUAUUCUAUGCAGUGGGAUAACAAUGGAGAUAAGGAGAUAUUUUGGAGCAAGAGCUAAGGAAAAGGAAGCUAAGGACGAUUUUGGAUUUAGGAUCAGCGAGGAGUGUCGAGCGACA
This 225-nucleotide small RNA is filed under the name Arabidopsis thaliana (thale cress). Its description in RNAcentral is "ATSL091250". Lineage: Eukaryota; Viridiplantae; Streptophyta; Magnoliopsida; Brassicales; Brassicaceae. The record is from RNAcentral.